This 792-nucleotide ribosomal RNA is filed under the name Pantoea vagans. RNAcentral's name for it is "bacterial SSU rRNA". It matches the Rfam family "Bacterial small subunit ribosomal RNA", at positions 617 to 1407 of the family's 1533-position model. Lineage: Bacteria; Pseudomonadati; Pseudomonadota; Gammaproteobacteria; Enterobacterales; Erwiniaceae. The record is from RNAcentral.
GGAACUGCAUUUGAAACUGGCAGGCUUGAGUCUUGUAGAGGGGGGUAGAAUUCCAGGUGUAGCGGUGAAAUGCGUAGAGAUCUGGAGGAAUACCGGUGGCGAAGGCGGCCCCCUGGACAAAGACUGACGCUCAGGUGCGAAAGCGUGGGGAGCAAACAGGAUUAGAUACCCUGGUAGUCCACGCCGUAAAUMGAUGUCGGACUUGGAGGUUGUUCCCUUGAGGAGUGGCUUCCGGAGCUAACGCGUUAAGUCGACCGCCUGGGGAGUACGGCCGCAAGGUUAAAACUCAAAUGAAUUGACGGGGGCCCGCMCAAGCGGUGGAGCAUGUGGUUUAAUUSGAUGCAACGCGAAGAACCUUACCUWCUCUUGACAUCCAGCGAACUUUCCAGAGAUGGAUUGGUGCCUUCGGGAACGMUGAGACAGGUGMUGCAUGGCUGUCGUCAGCUCGUGUUUWGAAAUGUUGGGUUAAGUCCCGCAACGAGCGCAACCCUUAUCCUUUGUUGCCAGCGAUUCGGUCGGGAACUCAAAGGAGACUGCCGGUGAUAAACCGGAGGAAGGUGGGGAUGACGUCAAGUCAUCAUGGCCCYUAYGAGUAGGGCUACACWCGUGCUACAAUGGYGCAUACAAAGAGAAGCGACCUCGCGAGAGCAAGCGGACCUCACAAAGUGSGUCGUAGUCCGGAUCGGAGUSUGCAACUCGMCUCCGUGAAGUCGGAAUCGCUAGUAAUYGUGGAUCAGAAUGCCACGGUGAAUACGUUCCCGGGCCUUGUACACACCGCCCGUCACACCAUGG